RNAcentral lists this ribosomal RNA (271 nucleotides) under uncultured ectomycorrhiza (Lactarius pseudomucidus). RNAcentral's name for it is "partial 28S ribosomal RNA". It matches the Rfam family "Eukaryotic large subunit ribosomal RNA", at positions 1 to 263 of the family's 3401-position model. The record is from RNAcentral. Lineage: Eukaryota; Fungi; Basidiomycota; Agaricomycetes; Russulales; Russulaceae.
UUGACCUCAAAUCGGGUGAGACUACCCGCUGAACUUAAGCAUAUCAAUAAGCGGAGGAAAAGAAACUAACAAGGAUUCCCCUAGUAACUGCGAGUGAAGCGGGAAAAGCUCAAAUUUAAAAUCUGGCGGUCUUUGGCCGUCCGAGUUGUAAUUUAGAGAAGCGUCUUCCGCGCCGGACCGUGCACAAGUCUCCUGGAAUGGAGCGUCAUAGAGGGUGAGAAUCCCGUCUUUGGCACGGAUGCUCGGUGCUUCUGUGAUGCGCUCUCGAAGA